UGGGGAAUUUUGGACAAUGGGGGAAACCCGUGAUCCAGCCAUCCCGCGUGUGCGAUGAAGGCCUUCGGGUUGUAAAGCACUUUUGGCAGGAAAGAAACGUCGCGGGUUAAUACCCCGCGAAACUGACGGUACCUGCAGAAUAAGCACCGGCUAACUACGUGCCAGCAGCCGCGGUAAUACGUAGGGUGCAAGCGUUAAUCGGAAUUACUGGGCGUAAAGCGUGCGCAGGCGGUUCGGAAAGAAAGAUGUGAAAUCCCAGAGCUUAACUUUGGAACUGCAUUUUUAACUACCGGGCUAGAGUGUGUCAGAGGGAGGUGGAAUUCCGCGUGUAGCAGUGAAAUGCGUAGAUAUGCGGAGGAACACCGAUGGCGAAGGCAGCCUCCUGGGAUAACACUGACGCUCAUGCACGAAAGCGUGGGGAGCAAACAGGAUUAGAUACCCUGGUAGUCCACGCCCUAAACGAUGUCAACUAGCUGUUGGGGCCUUCGGGCCUUGGUAGCGCAGCUAACGCGUGAAGUUGACCGCCUGGGGAGUACGGUCGCAAGAUUAAAACUUAAAUGAAUUGACGGGGGUCAUAGCGUG
This 582-nucleotide ribosomal RNA is filed under the name uncultured bacterium. Its description in RNAcentral is "partial 16S ribosomal RNA". It matches the Rfam family "Bacterial small subunit ribosomal RNA", at positions 355 to 929 of the family's 1533-position model. The record is from RNAcentral.